This 497-nucleotide ribosomal RNA is filed under the name uncultured bacterium. Its description in RNAcentral is "partial 16S ribosomal RNA". It matches the Rfam family "Bacterial small subunit ribosomal RNA", at positions 28 to 507 of the family's 1533-position model. The record is from RNAcentral.
GAUGAACGCUGGCGGCGUGUCUAAUACAUGCAAGUCGAGCGAACAGACGAGGAGCUUGCUCCUCUGACGUUAGCGGCGGACGGGUGAGUAACACGUGGAUAACCUACCUAUAAGACUGGGAUAACUUCGGGAAGCCGGAGCUAAUACCGGAUAAUAUAUUGAACCGCAUGGUUCAAUAGUGAAAGACGGUUUUGCUGUCACUUAUAGAUGGAUCCGCGCCGCAUUAGCUAGUUGGUAAGGUAACGGCUUACCAAGGCAACGAUGCGUAGCCGACCUGAGAGGGUGAUCGGCCACACUGGAACUGAGACACGGUCCAGACUCCUACGGGAGGCAGCAGUAGGGAAUCUUCCGCAAAGGGCGAAAGCCUGACGGAGCAACGCCGCGUGAGUGAUGAAGGUCUUCGGAUCGUAAAACUCUGUUAUUAGGGAAGAACAAAUGUGUAAGUAACUAUGCACGUCUUGACGGUACCUAAUCAGAAAGCCACGGCUAACUACGUG